UACUAAAGUAAAAUCCUCUAUUCUUCAUGUUUUCAAUAAAAUUGCUUAUAUUCUUUUUUGACCGCCAACACAAAUCUCAUUACGGGUACUGUAGUCUAUGAUAAUUCGAUCAAGAAUUCCUCAAGUAGCCUGGACACAUUUAUGAUGUUGGUUAUUCUACUAAGAUUCAAAGCUGAAAUAAGCAAAUAUCCCCUUUCUAUAUUAUUUUCAAUAUUAUUAUAGAUGGUAGCCUACCUAUAUCAUUUAGUUUUCUUUAGUUCAUGGUUAGCAUACAGUAUUUGAAUUUGCCGGUUGAUAACUUGAAUUUGAAUUUGCCGGUUAAGCCAACUUGAUAAUAGUGUUUCAAAAAUUUCAAAAUAAAGAAGAAUGAAGAGUUAAUCUACCAAUGAAUGUUUUUUUCAAUCUGAAUAGACUCAUCAAUGAUUGAUUUGAACAAUUUUUCAUUAUAAAAUAUAAAUAUAUUUCAUUUGAAAUUACAAAACAAAUCAAGCUGGCCAUGUUGUCAGCAUUCCAAGUUCAGCUUAUCAGGUAAACAUUCCAAAUUCCACUUCUAUGGUUAGGUAAAUUGAUGUGAUAUCGGCUUCAAAGUUAUAAUGUGUUUUGAAAAUAAUAAGAUAACAAUAGCAAUUGCUUUCCUGCAUAUCAACCUUACUACUGCCUAUAUUGUACCUUAUAUUUUCAAUUUUCUGUGGUGAAUGAAUGACUCAAGUUAAUGAAGCUAAUGGAAUAUCAAAAAUCUACCAAAAAUAAAAGUGCCAGUUAUGUCUGCCUGUCACCUCAUAGAAAGCUUUCCGGAAGACACAAUUCCUUGGUGAAUCUAUUUUACUGCAUCAUAAAAGCAGAAGAAGGAGGUGAAAAUCAACUUGUUUAGCUGUGGUACAAGCUAUCAAAUCCAUGAAUCCAGGAACCUAUUCAAUUAUCAAGAACUUCUCUGUCAUAGUAUGGUCGGACCCAUUCACCAAGGAAGGUCACAGUUAUCAAAGCAUCCAUUCUACUCCUAUUAUAAAUCUCAACAGAAGUAAAUAAUGAUGAUCUCUACUCAAUUCCUGUAUCUACUAAUUCUUCAACUUCUUUAGAAAUGUUCUGAACAAAGCUCAGGCUAGAGUUACCAGAGGACUGUAAUUUACUAUUCAAAUAAUCAAAUACAAACAAGGGGAAAAAUUUAAUCUUCAAUUUGAGCCAGGUUAUUUGUACAG
Molecule: long non-coding RNA, 1196 nt
Organism: Nilaparvata lugens (brown planthopper)
Lineage: Eukaryota; Metazoa; Arthropoda; Insecta; Hemiptera; Delphacidae
Exons: 4
Source: RefSeq, a predicted model, not a curated record